This 31463-nucleotide long non-coding RNA is filed under the name Setaria italica (foxtail millet). RNAcentral's name for it is "long non-coding RNA (SITA_LNC004839)". Lineage: Eukaryota; Viridiplantae; Streptophyta; Magnoliopsida; Poales; Poaceae. The record is from RNAcentral.
GAGCAAUGACCUGGCACGACGAUCGGCUGACUCUGCAGCACCUCACCACCUCUUCAAAGCGGGUCCAUUUGGAUUGGCACCAAGCUGGCCCUGCAGGUCUUCCAUGAAAGCGUGCUCAUAAGUUUUGCUGUCCAGCAUAAAUUCCUUGAGGCUCCGGAGCAAUGGUAGCCCGGAAAACAUCCCUGUGUUGGUUUCUUCAAGCUUGCCACGAAAAUCCAGCCGCUCAAGCUGAAGCAUUGCCCCUUCUUCAAACUCCACCGAUUUCAGGCCAUCUAUGUCAUUUAGCUCCAGCACUAUCAGACUCGGGAAUGCCUCCGGAUGGAAGGUGAAACGGAGGUCGUCAACCUGGAACGACUUCGCCCACAGACGUAAGCUGACCAGGUUCGGUAGCUUCCCAAGAACUUGGAGUGCAGGUUCGUGCUCCAGUAUUCUAGAGCUCCUUAGAACCAACUUCACAAGAUUCGGGAGCCCCUGGACCCAUCCUGGCAAUUUGACCAAAUUACCGUAUAUCUUGAGGCUCUGGAGUGUUUUUGGAGCGGAGGCCAAGCCCUCCAAACAGCCAUGCAAACCUGGCAUCCCCCAUGCCUGCACUAGCAAAGAUUCCAGACAGCUGAGAUUGGCAACGACUGAACAGAACUCCUGGCUGUUUUCCUUGUUGAUGCCAGUCACAGCUAACUUGCGCAACUGGGUCAGUCCUUUUAGGUCCCGUAGAAUUGCUUUGUCCCAUGCGAGAUUCACAAGACCCAAUGUGCGCAGGGAUUUUAGUUUCCCUAUCCCUCUUGGCAUCCAAGUUGGACCUUCCCUUGCCAUCAGAAGAGGGAACCACCAGCAGCAACACUGAGUGCAUACAUCACACCUAUUCAUGUCACCAUCCACACCCAUAACCUCUUUAACAAGUUGAGGUGCGCAACAUACCAUGCAAAAUCCUAGCAACCAACCCAUACAAAAGCAUGGCCUGUUAUUCACUACUUUUGGCAGUUCUUCAAACGUUAAUGAAUCAUCAUCCUUUCCAACAGCCCCAGCACGAAGAUAUUGUAGCUUCUUGAGCUUGGUGAUGGUCUUGGGCAGCUUUAAAAUCGCUGUCUCUGAAAUAUCUAGUGUUUCUAGUUGCUUUAGAUUACCCAACGAAUCUGAUAGGUGAAAAAUAGAAUCACAUCCUCUUAGAGAAAGAUAUCUGAGGUGAAGAAGCCUCCCAAUAUGCUCUAGGUGAUGACUAACCAGACCUGACGUGCCUUCCAAGUCCAGCACACGCAAGAACCUCAUCUUGUCAGAAAUGAAAAAGGACCUCCACUUCCCAAACACUGUUAACGAGCGUAUGCGGGACAGAUCCACUUUGUUCUCAAACUCACUCUUAUCUGCUUCCCAGUUGGUGCUUAUGACAAGGUGACGAACUGUGCCCUGGGUGUUUGAGCUGCAACCUUCCUCCAUUCUAAAAACAAGAUUUUCUUCUGUUGACUUUGAGAUGCUAAUCUCACGCAUGAGAUCAUGGACUUGGCAAGAGUCAAUUCCUUUUCUACUAUUAACUGAUAGCUGAGAAGGUAGGAUCAUGCUCCUCUCUAUUAGUUCCAUGAAGUAGUUGUCAGCUACUUCUUCUGGGGACUUAUCUCGAAUCUCCCUUGAGUAACCUUCUGCACUCCACCGUCGUAUCAAACGUCUUCGACUAACCUUGUGAUCUUCAGGGAAGAUGGAUGUAUAUAGGAAACAAGACUUAAGAUGAUAUGGUAGACCAUCAUAACUUUUACCAAGAAUUGUUUUUAUGGCCCCAAGCUCCGGGUUCAUUUCCAAUUCAGCACUAAUAUGCUCAUUUAAUUUCCUCCACUCUACCGCUACUUUUGGUUGCUUUGCCAAGAAGCCUCCGAUGGUGACUAUUGCAAGGGGGAGUCCAUUGCACUUCUUCAAGAUCAUUUUUGCUUCUUUGAUCAAUUCAGGAUGCUUAUCCAAAUCUUUGGCCUCCUUAAACACCUGAAAUCAGUAGUGCUUAUUAUGUUCUUUGAGAUUGAAAAUACGUACGAAUGGUCUAUGUAGUUUACUUAUUUAUUAGAAUGACUAUUGCACAAUUAUUAGUCUCAUGCCUAUUGAAGAAUAGAACUAUUAGUUAUGAUGUCCUUAUAUUGUAAUGAAAGAUAACACAAAUGGCGGCAGGAUUAUAUUGUAAUAUAGUAUACCUUUCUUGUGAAGAGGUCUUGUGCAUCCUUGCAGUCAAGAACUUUGAGCUUGUAUAUGUUUUCUUGUUUCUCUGAACAAUGUUUUGCUAUACUCUCUUCCCUUGUGGUCACUAUAAUCCGGCAUGAACUAUCUAAUUUAGGGAAGCUUCCAAAUAUAUUAUCCCAUUCUGCUAUUGAUGAAAGAUCAUCAAGAACAAUCAAGCACUUCUUCCCUUCAAGAAGCCUAGCUAACUCUUUUAUUAAUGCUUCAACUCCCAUCAUUACUGGGGCUGUGUUUCUUGCACCAUGUGCAAAAAUCUAUUGCUCCUUUCUUUUCAGAAGAUUGUACAUUUAGUUGCAUAAUUAAGCUCUUCAGAAACUCCUUACGAAUGAAAGGGCGCAUCACUGUAACACAAGCAUGCUUCUCAAACACACCAACAAGCUUUUGACUUUCAUAAACAUCUUUGAUCAGAGUAGUUUUCCCAAUACCACCCAUUCCCCAUACUGAGAUCACCGCAUGCUCUUGAUUAGAUCGAUUUGAAAUGAGGUUGAUGAUAUCAGUUUUUUCUUUUUGCCGACCGAUAAGUUGUGAUUCCUCCAAAGCACUUGCCAUAGUUUUGAUGCGAGUAAGGCUUUUUGUGAAUACCUUUAUCUCAUUGCCACCUUGAGAUUGAUGUCCCAGUGCUACAUUAGUACUUAUUGAUUUAUCUGAGCUGGACACUACCACUGGUAUUUUUAUUUGAUCUUGACAAUCCUAUGCAGAAGUAAACUUUAGUUAUCAGAAUUUUAAAUUUGUCGAUGUUUAAACAAUAUUUUGACUCAAAAGGUAAAUUCUAGCAUAAAUGCAUAUAAAUUUAUGAUGGCCAUAGAUAGAUUGCUUGGGUAAUUAAAAGAAACAAGAUAGAUUGAUUAGGCAAGAAUGAAAUUAUAACAUAUAGGGGAGGCUAGUAUCUAGCCCUAUUACAAAUGAGGUGUUUAGAUAGAACUAUAAUGUGUAAGAUUGUUAUUGGCCAAUAUAUAGAUUUUAUUUAACACUAAUAUUACUAAUAAUAGAUUCUAUUUGGAUGAUCGAUGUUAAAUCUCAAUAAACACGCUAGAAAAAUAGAUAGAUCUUAGAAAAUCUCACAAAGAGCGAAACAUUCUACCAUCAAUUUUGUAGACUCAAUCCUUGUUGAUAACAAUAAGCAUAGGAUGUAAUUUACUUUAAAAAUGACCUACCUCUACCAUUACAAAGAUAAUAUCCAAAAUCUACACCUAAAAUCCCCACAUAUGCCAUUAUGAAUAAGAAUUUAUUCGUCCUCUAAAUCUCCAUACAAGUGACCAAUCACUGCUACUAUGAAAAUAAAGCGUAAGUAACCUCACAAUUUGUAUCUAAAUUACCAAUACCCUCUACCAUUAUGAAUAAGAAUUUAAAUAAGAUAAUAAAUUUGUGGCUAGAUUAUCCACUGUUUCCAUUAUUAAAAAUGACUUAAAGUAAUGCUUAAAUCUACAUAUGAAUUACACAUUUCUAUGAUUAUAAAGUAUAAUAAUCCAAAGCAUGCCCUAUAAAUUCUUCUAAAUUGAUCAUUUGUAUCAUUAUUAAUAUGUGAAAAAACUAAAGUAUACACAUCCAUGAUGUGUAUCAUAUCACCAUAGAAACCAAGUAGCAAGCAUGCAGGGAUCAAUAGAUGCAUUGAUUUACAUGGUUUGGCAAUAACAAAAGUUAUUUUCUUAAUGAUUCAUAUUACAAUGGCAGUCCACAUUAAAUUAUAUUACAAUACUACUAAAUGACAAGAAUUAUUUAAGUUGCUACUCUAGAUAAAUGUAUUACAUUUUGACUGACAACAUUAUAACAUCUACAAUGAUAGUUACAUUAUGACCACUCUAAUUAUUUACUCCCUCAAGCUAUUCUUUUGAUCUAUUUUUGUAACAUAAGUUAUAAUGUCAUGUGUCGUCCCAAUUAAUAUGAACUUAAAACUCAACCGGUACAUGGAAAAACAAAAAUAAAAUAUCUCAUUAGGGGUAGCAUGGACCAAUUGAAUUAGUUUGGAUCAGUUGUUCAAGUGACUAAGCGGACAUAGCGGAUUGCUUAGGGUAGUAAAAUAGACUUCUUCAUUUAGUAAGGUCUUUCUAUAGAGAAAUUUUUACACCUCUAGACAUGCUAGUUGAGAAUCUUGUUUAUUCCUUCCACUUCUAACAGUUAUGCUUCUUAUGCUAGCAUGUAUAGGAGCAUGUGUACUUGUUGAUGGACUCGCUCUUAUUGACGAAAAUUGAUACAUUCUUUCCUGUGCCUAUGAAUAUGGUAAAAGAAUCCCCACAGAACAUCGACCCCCACGGCUGAUCGGAACUGCUUCACUAAGCUUUGGAUGAAGUCGAUCAUUCGGAUUGAACGGAUGCGAGAUCCUUACCCAUGCCCGGCACGAAAACUUCUUUUUGAUAUCUGGAUUCUCGUAGGCCGCGUUGAUGAUGGAUGUCUGCCCAAGAUCACCACUGGUUCCCCACACUGCGAUCACUCUAAGAUCCUCGCCCGGUGUGUUGAUCAGGUGGACCAGGUCCACUUUUGAGUUGUCAUUCUUCGCAGCACGCCGUGCAUCAUCGAUGCCGAAUAUCGUCGCAGCUGUAAUGCUUGACUGCUCAGCAGAAGUGACCGGCUUGGAGCCAGCGCUCUUGAUGAGCUGGUAGCGCAGGUUCCUCUGGCUCACGUCCUCAACUCUGGCCCUCAGCUCCUUCAUCUGCUUGGCGAUGCGGCACCGCUCUUGCCACGUGCGAGGAAGGUGCCACCAAGAUGGCUUGUGGAGAUGAACAGAGAAAUCCUGGAGGCAGUCCUCCGCAUCGUACGCCACGUCACGCACUUGUUUCACCCAGGUCAUGAGCACCUCAUGGUUGUCUCGCUCGUCGUGCGUGGCCCUCAUAAAGGCUUGCAUCAUCGCGAGCUCGUCUCUGAUGAAAGCAUGAUCGCGCUGGAUGCCGAGCUGCAAGGCUACCUCCUCUGCGACAGCGGAUUUGGCGUAGGCCCUGUUUGGAGUCGCUUAUUUCCCGCUUAUUGGUGGAAAUAAGCGAUAAACCCACCUAAACGCCUUGCUUAUUCCCCGCUUGUCACGUAAGCCGCUUAUUGGAGAAUCUGAAAUACAACUAGCACUCAGCUUAUCUCCUACGCGGGUCAGACCACGCUUCUGGGGCAAGCGGAGAAAUUUUCCCCCGGGUACCCUCGGGCAACGGCCUCCAGGCGACCACCGCCGCUCCUCCCGCCGCCGCCGCUCCAGAUCCCGCCGCCGCCGCUCCAGAUCCCGUCGCCGCCCCCCUGCAGAUCCCGGCGCCGCCCCUGGGGUCGGCCGGGCCGCUUCCCUACCUCCGGCGGCCGCCCCUGCCAGGCUCCCGCCGCGGGCCGCUAGCCGCCGGACGCCCGCGCCGCCGGACGCCUGGGCGCCGCCCCCGCCGGCCCCGGCGCCGGACGCCCCCGCCGCGGGCCGCUGGGCGCCGCCCCCGCCGCCGGAAGCCCCCUCCGCCCCCGCCUGGGCGCCACCUCCGCCGGUCGACGCCCCAUCCCCCUGGAUCCGGCUCCACCGCCGAAGUCUCCUGCUGCCUGGACACCGCCCCGCCGCCGGACGCCCCCGCCGGAGUCUCCUGCUGCCUGCGCCGGACGCCCCCGCCGCCUGGCCGCCGCCUGGCCGCCGCCCCGCCGCCGGACACCCCUGAAGUAAGUUUCUGGUUCCCCAGUCCAACAGGCUUUUUAACCAUCUCUGAAAUAUGCAUUGAAGCAAAUAGCAAAUAUACAUAUUGACAUGGCUCAACUACAGAAGCAAAAAAGUUAUAGGGCAUUCUUUACGUUAUGUACCUUAACGUCACCAAAAGCGGUGAUUCACUUGAGUAUCAGAAACUAUUCGAAGAGCACAUCCGGCCAGCGCUGAAGGACAUAGUCUGGGCCUGGCAUGGAGAUGAUCAGCAGCAAAAGCAGGAGUAGCUUUGGAUGCCUCAGUUUGUGGUCUGAAAUUCCGUUUGAUUUUUCAGCUCAGAUUUUAUUUUCAUGUGUUCAUUGUUAGCAACUACAUUCGUUUUUGUAUUGGAAGAACACCUGUUGAGUUGUGUUGAUGUGAACCAUUAGGCUGUAUUUCGUCGAAUAAUAAUUGUUGAGAGGCUGAGUUCUUGAGUUUUAUUCUGAAACUCUUUCUGUUCUGUAAUUGCUGUCCCCGUCGAUAAUGAUAUACAACACCUCUGGUGCUUGAAAAAAGGCUAAGAUUUCCAGUACUAAGAUAAUAGCUUCUUUUGGUGAAACAUCGUGCCUAGAGCAUGAAUUCUCUGCGCACAUAUGACAUUUGCAAAAAAAUAUGCAUCUCAUCACCUGCAUAUGGAAUCAAUUAAUUUUUUUUAGCCACUCCAGCAACCGAAUGCCAAUGUGAUUCUCUAUGGCAUCAAGAAUGAUCUAUAUGUUCUUUAUUAGUUUAAUUCUCCAAUAGAGAGUGCACCAACACAUGAUGCGUUUACUGUUCUAUCUCCAUAUAAAUCUUUUAUCGUGUCACUAUAUAUUGUGAGGUGGCACAUUAGUCCAGGCAAACCGAAGUUGAUAGACAUCAGGAAUGUAGGUAUUAUUUAUCCAAAAUCCAUACCACAGGAACUGGUGGUUACCAGUGUAACAAACUAGUCAGGGAGCAGUGCACUUCUAACUUUGGUACAGUGGGAAGGCGCGUAGAAAUAAGACAGUGGCAAAAACAAUCUUUUUCAUUAAUUCUUUUUUCAUUUUGCAUUGGAGUCUCUUUGGACCUAUAUGAUGAUGGAGUAGCUCAUAACAAUUUUAUGUAUGCGUGUAGUUGCUGCGAAGGAUCUGGACAGCUGUAGCUGUUACGACUGCAAGGCCGCCAACAAAUAGCAAGGUAAAAUUUGUGUCACUUCUUGAUGGAUUGCUAAAAUGACAGAUUGUGGUUUGUAUGAUCAGUGAACAAGCUCGUAGAUUUGUAUUUAAUUCUACAAUACUGUAAUCAAAUUUUAGAUGGAAAAGUCGUCAAAGAUUGUGGCAAAAUGGGAUUCAUUUGCCGCGAAAGCUUUCAAUGACAUUUGUGUGGAAGAAGUACUUGCUUUCAAUCGACCGCAGCAAUGUUUGAAUGCGGUGGGAUAUGCAAACCUUAUUAGAAAGUUUUAUGAGCGUACCAAGAGGCCAUACGGUGAGAGUCAAAUGAAGAAUAGGUGGGAUAUAUUGAAUCUAUCAUGAGAUUAGCUGUUGACAUUGUGAGGCCUAAGGAUCUGCAAUUUUCUACUAUUCAUCCUAAACUACAAGAAGCAAGGUUUUGGCCUCAUUUCAAAGAUUGCAUAGGAGCAAUUGAUGGUACCCAUAUACCCGUAACUGUGCCAUUAGCUGAUCAACCGAAAUACAUUGGUCGGCAUGGGUAUCCUUCACAAAACGUCAUGGCGGUUUGUGACUUUGAUAUGCGGUUCACAUUUGCUGUCACUGGUUGGCCUAGUUCUGUCCAUGAUACUCGUGUAUUAUUGGACACGCUUGUCACAUACAAGGAUCAAUUUCCACAUCCUCCCGAUGGUAAGGACGAGUUAUGUUGCAAUUUAUUUUUCAGGGAAUAUUUGCUCAUUGUGAUAUAACAUGUAAAUAUAAAAUGCAGGUAAGUACUAUCUUGUUGACUCUGGAUAUCCUAAUAGAAAAGGAUUUCUUGCACCCUACAAGGGACAGAGGUAUCAUGUUUCCGAAUGGCAGCAUGGUCAGCAUCCGGUAGGAUUGAAAGAAGUGUUUAAUCAUGCACAUUCAUCCCUUAGAAAUGUGAUUGAGCGAUCAUUUGGAGUUCUAAAGAUGAAGUGGCGCAUUCUCUUGAAUUUGCCCAGUUAUCCGAUUAACAAGCAGUCGAAAAUUAUAGUUGCUUGUAUGGCCCUUCACAAUUUCAUCAGAGAUAGUGCCGUACAUGACGUGCAUUUUGAAGAGGAUUUUCAGGAAGAUGAUGGUAAUUCAACCCAACCUAGCACAGAUGGUGGUGGUGGUGCUUUAGGAGAUGACAUUGAUAUGGGUGCAUUGCGUGAUGCUAUUGCUGUCGCUAUGGUUUCAUGAUUCGUUGUUGUACCCAUGAUGGAUGUUUCCAUACUAUUCCGAUCUAUCGUAUGAAUUUCAUAUUAUUGUAAUGUAAUUUCUAUUUAACAAACUCCAAAGGCAUUAGAAUUAUUGUCUUCUCCUCAGAUUCACAAUAAAAAUGAGCUAUUAUCAGCCUUAGGGGCAUUCAGGUCAAUUUACCAACCAGGACAGACAAUCGACACAAAAUAAUUAGGAUUGCCAAACACUCUGCUUAUUCAGACAGCAGCUUAUCCAGGCAGCAGGCUUACCAGAUAAGCUUGCUUGUCAGAUAAGCGAGUUCCAGAAAAGCGUAUACAAACAUGGCCGUAGCCAAGCGCUCCAUCCAGCACGGACUUGCCCACGCUCAACGCGGUGGCCUCCAUGGCUCUCCUCUCGGGUGUGCUGUGUGGUGUGGAUGGGUGUGGAAAUGCUUGGUGCCAGUCCACAAGCCAGCCAUUUGGUUAAAAAGGUGAACUCAACAACUAGAGGACCGAGCAAGUUAAAAAUUUUCAUGAGGACUCGUACUUAGUGUAGCAGUUCCUCAAGUCGUACCAAAUUAAUUUAGUGGUAGGCUAUGUUAAUUAAGUUAUCUAAAAGCUUUUUUACAUAUGCCUCCGGCUAGUAUUGAGAUGCACGCAAGAGAGCUGUUGGGCCAAGCUUGCAGAGUGCUGUCAAGGAUAAGGACAUUUGGAAUCAACUGAAACAUCAUAAUAAGUGCAAAUUUCCCUGCGCGUACCAGACUUCAUUAACUAUAGUUAUAGAUUAUUCGUAAAUUUUACUAUAGGUGUAAACCCUCAACGACUCUUUGCAUUGAGUGCAGGAAAGUACUCGACAAACCCAGAUCGCAGACAAAUGCGAUGACCUCGCCUGAGGUGGUUGGGGCAAAUAAUUCAGGUGCUUGCGCAGCAACGAUGUGCACUGAAGUAUUAAGAUUGAUCAAGCAGGCAGGCUUUGACUGAAUAGUUUGUUCCCGUGCCCUAUACUACGCAAACUAGGAGGGCGACGGCCCAACGACCACGGGUAAAGAAACGAUCUUGCAUCCAGCUACAAAAUUCUCGGUCUUUUUAAACUCGGGACUAAACGAGUUUUAGUCCCAGGUCCAAAAACCAGCUCCAACGGGGGCUCUUUAGUCCCGAUCAGUAAUAUUAACCGGGACUAAAGAGCCAAUUUAGUCCCGGUUGUAAUGGGUAGAAACAACGAGGGAAUCUGGUAGGACAUUUAGUCCCGGUUGGUAAGGCCACUCAUUUAGUCCCGGUUGGUGGUUCCAACCGGGACUAAAGGAUGAUCUUUAGUCCCGGUUGAAACCAACAACUGAGACUAAAUCCUCUCUUUUUCCCCACUGGCGGCCUCAUCUCUCUCCCCACUGCAUUAUCCUCUUUCCCAACCCACCACUGGCCUCUCUCUCUCUCUCCCUCCACAGAUUCCUCUCCCACCUCUCCUCCUCUCUCCUCCCUCCACAAUCUGCCGCUGGAGCACAAGGCCUCCCCGGGCGCCACCCUGGCCGCCAGCGCGCAAGGCCUCCCCGACUCGCCCCCUAGACGCCAGCCGCCGACGUGCGGGCCUCCCAGGCCGCCAGCCACACGUGCGUGCAGGGCCUCCCCAGCCAGCGCCUAGCCGCUAGCAGCCACCGACACGUGAGCCCUCCCGGCUCGCCACCUGGCCACCGGCGGCGUGGGGCUGGUGGCUCCCGAUAGCUACGACGGCGAGCGCGAGGACCAGGAUGAGGAGCAGCGCGGGCUGGGGUAGGGCCAUUGGUGGGUCUGGCAGAGUAGAGCCCGAGGGUCUGCUGUGGGCAGUGCGUCGGCAAGGUUGUUUCCUACCAGCUCGGCGCGCCCACGCGGACGGUGCUCAUCCUUCUUUCACAUACGUUAUCUGUAUGCGUGUGUUUUUUUCCUGAUUCCUGCUUGUUCAUGGGUGUCUUAUUACUUUCUCAUUUUUUUCAUUACCAACUAACCUUUCUUGUUUUUUGCCCUAGCUCCUCCAUCUGUUUUUGGAUUGUGCCCCAACGGUUAUGCUUGUUGCAAAUUAUUUAUUUUCCUUCCUUCCAUCUUCUUACAUUUUUGGUGAAUGGUGUACAAUAGGUUCUAGCAUGUUUGUACAAAGCUCUUGAAAAGUUGUUUUAUGAAAUAUGUUCAUAAUUAAUAACUUGAUGGAACACAUAAGUUGAUCGAAACAAAAUCAGAAAAAGAAAAGUUCAUAGUUGUUGGCUCGAUUCUCUUAUUUGCUUGUGUUUUUUUCCUUUGCAUUAGCAGGUUGUUUUCUUCUGAAGUAAAUGUUUUCUUAUUUUCUAUCUGCAAUAAUUUAGAAGGGGGCCGGGGGGGGGAGUUUUUUUAUUUUUUUUGAACAUUUUAUUCCCGGUUGGUAAUACCAACCGGAACUAAAGGGGCGACGUGCAUGCACAUGCAUGGCGGCCUCUUUAGUCCCGGUUGGUAUUACUAAUCGGGACUAAAGGAGAUCUUUAGUCCCGGGUGAAUGAUCUGGGACAAAAGGGGGGACCUUUAGUCCCGAAUGAUUAGUCCGGUUGGUUUUUCGAGAGAUAUGUGACUUACCAACCGGGACUAAUGCUCAUAUUUCCACCAGUGGACUCACCAGGGAGAAAAGCACUUUAAGUAGUACACUCUAGGUGGAGACGAAUAAAAUGGGGGUGUCGUGUGCGCUUGAGACGGUGGUCAUGGAAAUUUUUACCUCAAACGGCUGGUGUUUUAGUAAUAGACUACCUUUUAUUUGACAUAAGCAUGAUGGAUAUCAUGAUUGUCUUCUUAAACUUUUUCACUAAUAAUGGACAGCUAUAUAUAUCAAUCGAUACAGCUAUAUGUAUCAAUCGAUAUAAUUGUAUCUAAUAAUGUCAUGAUCCGUGGCCGGUUACGGAGAAAGCUCCCGCUGCUUGCGUGGUGGCGAUGAGAGCCUUGCCGGUGGGGAUGGGGCCACGAUUUGGACACUUAAUGUUGAGAUGACAAGGGGAUCACGUUAGGUUCCGUUUGGCCGAGAUGCGGAACACCGCUAAUUGCUGAAGAUGACAACGUGGGGCCGGUAAACAACUGGGCGGGGGGUGGCAACAGCUAAUCUGAACGAGGCGUCGGGCACUGGUGGAAAACGUUUCUGCAUGUUCAUUCUUCCACGUUGCUCUACUGCAUUGCGAAUAAUCUCUGGUUUCUGAGUGACCAACGAGGCAACAAUAUUGGAGACAGAUGACCAGGAGUUGCCCCUUGAGACAUCAGAUACGUGCAGCAAUCGUGCUCAACUGCUCAGUGUGAACAUCUAGGAUCGAAGCCCUCUAGUAUAAGCUAUCAGAGGGGUGAAUGACUGAAUGAUAGCAAUAAAUCGCAGCGGAAAAUUUUUCACCAUAAAAAUAGAUUCUGGAUCGUCCACUUAAUCGUGUGUCGUUCUUAGAAUUUAACUCCUAUCGACGUGAAACUUGACCAGAAAAUAGUCUAUGAAAUUGUGCAACUAACGCACAAACCUACAGACAAGCUGCUCUGCGGUAGGGGAGAAAACUUCAGCAAAACACUAAAGCUUCUAUGCAGAGUAAAAAAUUAGAUCCUUGAAUCAAAUGAACUACAAUUAAUUGCAUGGGGUUCUUAGUAGUAGGUGUUAGAGAUAACUGAGAACAUGUGAUGCCUCCAGGGUGUAUCCUUCCUUAUUCUCGAGUCAAUUCCAUGGAUGGACGCGCGUGAGGAUGCAUCCACAACUUGUAGCGAAGCAUGUGACCUUGUAUGUGGUGAGAGCAAGCCCAGUGAUGGUUCACUCUGGUGUUCCGCAACUUGCUGCAAGGCCACCUCGUCAGCAACAGAUUUGGCGUAGCCAAGCGCAACAGUGGUGUGUGGAUAUUAAGCUGAUGGUUGUGAAGUGUAGUGCCGAUCCAGAAGCCAGACAUGCAUGGACUGAGACAGAUCAUCAGUGACAAGACAGAAAGUUGGCAUUUAUUUGUUUUAGAAGACUUAGCGACGAUAGUUGCUCAGGUCGUGAUAAGAAGCUAUUCUCAGCUACCAGACUUCAUUGACUAUAGUUAUAGAUGCUGCAACUGUACUAGAUCGAGACAAGUUACACAUUAUUCGUAAUUUUUUCUACAGGUGUAAACCCAUUGAUCCCUCAACGACUCUUUGCAUUGAGUGCAGAAAAGAUGCAGACAACUGCGAUGACCUCGCCUGAGGUGGUUAGGGCAAAUAAUUGAGGUGCCUGAGGUGGAUGUCAUGGUUGUCUUAUUAAGUUCUUUCACUUUCAUUUGGAGCAUGAUCUUAUUUGUAAUCAAUCGAUACAGCUAUAUGUAAUUAAUAAUGUCAUGAUCUGUGGCCAGUUGCGGAGAAAGCUCCCGCUGCUUGCGUGGCAGCGAUGGGGACCUCGCCAGCAGGGACGGGGCCAUGGUUUGGACUUCGGAGAGCCCGCGCCGCUGCGCCAAUGGCUGUUGGGCGCCGGCCGGGGCCCAGCUGGAAGGUGGUGAGGAGAGCCAUGCGAGCCUGUCCAAUUCCACGCACGGCGGCCGCGACGACAAGAGGAUCGCAUUAGGUUCCGUUUGGCCGAGAUGCGGAACCAAUCACACCGCUAAUUGCUGAAGAUGACAACGCGGGGAAUCAUGUCAAUAGGAGAUCUAUAACUCGAGAUAUAAAAUAAACAAGCAGAUGGUGACGAGAACUGGUCAAGCCCUAAUUCCGUGAGUAAGCAAAAUAUAUAAAAAGCUAAUGAAUCAAAAUUCUAAGAUCACUAACUUGAUGCCCUAACAUGGUUUUGGAUGGAUCAAAUCUAAUCACGUUGAACAAUGAAACGAUCUAAACCAAAACUGAAGAAUGAGCAUGCAAGAUGAAAAGCGGAUACAUCGAGGGAGAACAAAAAUUACCAAAACAUCAGUUACGAAACCUUAAUCUUCGUUGCAUCGAAGAAGUGUUAAAAAUGCCUAUACAAGCAUCUUAACCAUACAAAGAUGUUCACGAGAUCCCCAAACUUUAGACUCCGCUAGAAAAAGCAGAAGCGCCACCGCUUGCGUUGUCGUCUGGCUUGGGCGCCAUCACUGUACCGAACUUGGCCGGUUCGGUCUCCUCUUAGGCAAGUACAUUGGUGUUGUCUAAUAGUCGGUCUCAUAUAUUAACAUGUAAUAUUGAGAUGAGUUAACAAACAAUCCGUACGGGUUGUCUUUUUAAGUUGCCUCAUAGCAAUUCUAUUUCCUUAAUUUGUGCAUAGAAAAAAAAGAAAUAUUAUUGUUCUAUGGUAACCACAACUCAUACAAUGGUAGAGUAGUCGUCUCAUAGUCCUAAAAUCUAACCUAUGAGGCGUAUCUUUCUCUCUCCUCAUUCUCUCUCUUCCACAUCAGCAAAAAUCUUACGUGGCACUGAUGACCCUCAUAGCUGAGGUGUAUCAAUGUACUUACCCUUGUAUUUGCCGACGUCAACACCUGACGUGGGCCUUCUCUUUUUUUCACGUUGCGUUGGCCUCAUGUCCGAUUGGUGGUGGACUUGCACCAAACGUGUCCCACAUGGACACAGCACCACACGGCCUGACCCAGGCCCAUUACUGAUGUCAACAGUAGCUCUCUUAAAUUCCUUAAUUCUAGAUAUAGGAUGAUGAACUGAAAAUUUCAUGCUAAUAUCUAGCUAGUUCCUAAAUAAUUUCGUAUUAGCAUAUACUAAUCAACAGCAAAUGUGUUGUAGAAAGUAGUGGUAGACUAAGCAAUUGGCAGUGUUAUACACGUCCUCCAAUGUUGGACCUUUAUCAUGAAGCUUGCUCUGUUUUUUUUUGGGUUUCACACGGCAGAUGGAAGAACAGAAUCUUUGCUUUCCUAACUAACUAAAGCUAAAGCGAUCAUGCUUCCCGUACCAUCCAAAGAACUGAAGAUAAAGCAAAGGAGCCGGUACGAUGGGAGAAGAUGAGAGAUUUAUCUUAACACCUUUGUGCUUCGGGCGGGAGAGCAAAUUGCUAUCUGUGAAAGCUAUUUCCCUAUUUCUUGUACCAUUGUUUUGCAUGGCAGCCUGCCAGCCAAAGCUUGAUCUAAACCCAAAACCAAACUAAACGAAAACAAACAGAAGAAGGUAAGAACUCAAAACAAUUUACCGCUAACAGUAAAUGAUAAAACCAGACUUCCUCCCUUCACUACAGAAAAAUCGGACCUUUUAUCCGUGGAACGUAAUGAGAUCUUUCAUCGAUGGAUGCGUGGCAUCUCUGGCGCGCGCGACCGGGGUUGUCGCGGCUUCCAGAAACGCAAGCGAUGAUACACGUGGAGCGAGUUGGUCACUUGGGUUAUUGUCGGAUUUCAGUCAGGUGCUUUCAGCAUGGUACAACAAGACCGUAAGAAGCAGAGCAAUCCUGAGCAGCGCAACCAGCCGCUGCAACGAACUUCAACGGUACAAUGCCAAGCCGCGGAGCAAUCGUGGAUUACUUUACUGACAAGGCACAGCCAUGACCAGCCGCAGCUUCGUCAUGCCUCUGCUAAAUCGCUGACAAGGCUGGAGGUCUCGUCAGUUACCUCUUCAAAACGGGUGCUUUUGGAUUCUCCAGAAGCUGGGCCCGCACGUCUUCCACAAAAUUCUCCUUGUAUUCAUCGUUGUCCAAUUCCUGGAUGGUGGAGUUCAACCAAUUUACUUGUAUCAUAUGGUUCAUUCCUAUUAGUAAAAUAAUAAAUUAAUUGGGAUGGUUUUAUCAUGGAUAAGUUGGUACAAUAAACUGAUCAUUAUUAUUUUGAACCAUUUCAUACACGAACCAAAUGAUACGAGCAACAAAAACAACCUAUAUUACCCAGACCUGAUGUGCCUUCCAAUAUGCUCUAGGUGAUGAUUAUAUUAACCAGACCUUAUGUGCCUUCCAAGUCCAGCACACGCAAGAACCUCAUCUUGUCAGAAAUGAAAAAGGACCUCCGUUUCCCAAACAUUGUUAAUGAGCGUACACGGGACAGAUCAACUUUGUUCUCAAACUCACUCUUACCACCCACCGCAGCACAUGCCAUGUCUCUGGACUGCAGAGACCUGAGAGAGAAAAAACAGGGCGCAUUACAGCAUCGUACGUCUGUACCUUGAUCUCGGACUGUCUCCCCGUGGCCCUGAAACCAAGCGAGGCGCGGCAUGCAUGCCCGGGUGCUUGGCGGCUGCGCGCAUGGUCUCGCUCUCGGCAACUUGGCUUGUCCGUUAGCUUCCUGCGAGCGGCCAAAUGGGUCCCUACUUGAAUAGGGCCUUGCUCUGGAGCUGCUCUCAUGGUGAAAUGUGCAGCACCAGUAGCCCAACACAGACAUACCUCCGUUCCUCUGCAUACUCAAAAGCUCCCGCUGCUCGCGUGGUGCCGUGGUGUCCUUGGGAAGGGAAUCGAUAUGGGGAACCAAAACACAGUGCUGAAAUGUAUCAUGUAAAUGAAACUCUUUAUUGCAUUAAAAAAAUAUGAAAAAUACUACUUCAGCGAAGCACGAAAAAUUAUGUGACCUGUAAUGGAGUACCGUGCAUUUCCUCUGUUGAUAAUGGCAGGGACGCAAGGGAGCUGCAACAUCACUUGCAAAGAAAAAUGAUGCCAAACCAGCAACCCUGCAGAUCAUUGUGGUGAACGUUCAUACAAAUGACCUGUAUAGUUAAUCAUAUAUAGUCCACACCAAUCUUUGUAGCCCAAUUACUGAACUGAUGAACAUUAUUUCACUUUUAUCAGGCGAUGCAGGAUGGAGCAGCACGCCAGUUAUUCUUAUUUGGCACAACCACAUAAGCAAAAAAAGGAAUACGUACGUACUGACGAACAAAACAAAAAAAAAAGAUGAUACAGAGACGCGGCACUAGGCCCACGUACAGGAUACUGACACGAUCCAUCUUUUUAGCUGCAUGCGUUAAAAAAGAAAUACAUCAGCAGUAGGACUGGAGAUUAAUUUUACACACACAUCAAUUGUUCAGAUGCACAAAGAGGGUAACAGGGAAACAGCAAGAGCAAUGACAUGGCACGACGAUCGGCUGACUUUGCAGCACCUCACGACCUCUUCAAAGCGGGUCCAUUUGGAUUGGCACCAAGCUGGCCCUGCAGGUCUUCCAUGAAAGCGUGCUCAUAAGUUUUGCUGUCCAGCAUAAAUUCCUUGAGGCUCCGGAGCAAUGGUAGCCCGGAAAACAUCCCUGUGUUGGUUUCUUCAAGCUUGCCACGAAAAUCCAGCCGCUCAAGCCGAAGCAUUGCCCCUUCUUCAAACUCCACCGAUUUCAGGCCAUCUAUGUCAUUUAGCUCCAGCACUAUCAGACUUGGGAAUGCCUCCGGAUGGAAGGUGAAACGGAGGUCGUCAACCUGGAACGACUUCGCCCCCAGACGUAAGCUGACCAGGUUUGGAAGCUUCCCAAGAACUUGGAGUGCAGGUUCGUGUUCCAGUAUUCUAGAGCUCCUUAGAACCAACUUCACAAGAUUCUUGAGCCCCUCGACCCAUCCUGGCAAUUUGAGCAGAUUGCCGUAUAUCUUGAGGCUUGCAGGUUUUUCGGAGCGGAGGUCAAGCCAUCCAAACAGCCAUGCAAACCUGGCAUCCCACGUGCCUGCACUAGCAAAGAUUCCAGGUAGCUGAGAUUGGCAACGACUGAACACAAUUCCUGGCCGUUUUCCUGGUUGAUGCCAGCCACAGCUAACUUGCGCAACUGGGUCAGUCGUUUUAUGUCCCGUAGAAUUGCUUUGUCCCAUGCGAGAUUCACAAGACCCAAUGUGCGCAGGGAUUUUAGUUUCCCUAUCCCUCUUGGCAUCCAAGUUGGACCUUCUUUCGCCAUCAGAAGAGGGAGCAUGACGCAGCAACACUGAGUGCAUACAUCACACCUAUUCAUGUCACCAUCCACAUCCAUAACCUCUUUAAGAAGUUGAGGUGCGCAACAUGCCAUGCAAAAUCCUAGCAACCAACCCAUACAAAUGCAUGGCCCCAGCACUACUUUUGGCAGUUCUUCAAAUGCAUUUAAUGAAUCAUCAUCCUUUCCAACAGCCCCAACACAAAGAUAUUGUAGCUUCUUGAGCUUGGUGAUGGUCUUGGGCAGCUUAAAAAUCGAUGUUUUUGAAAUAUCUAGUGUUUCUAGUUGCUUCAGAUUACCCAACGAAUCUGAUACGUGAAAAAUAUAAUCACAUCCUCUUAGAGAAAGGUAUCUGAGGUGAAGAAGCUUCCCAAUAUACUCUACGUGAUGAUUAACCAGACCUGAUGUGCCUUCCAAGUCCAGCACACGCAAGAACCUCAUCUUGUCAGAAAUGAAAAAGGACCUCCACUUCCCAAACACUGUUAACGAGCGUAUGCGGGACAGAUCCACUUUGUUCUCAAACUCACUCUUAUCUGCUUCCCAGUUGGUGCUUAUGACAAGGUGACGAACUGUGCCCUGGGUGUUUGAGCUGCAACCUUCCUCCAUUCUAAAAACAAGAUUUUCUUCUAUAGACUUUGAGAUGCUAAUCUCACGCAUGAGAUCAUGGACUUGGCAAGAGUCAAUUCCUUUUCUACUAUUAACUGAUAGCUGAGAAGGUAGGAUCAUGCUCCUCUCUAUUAGUUCCAUGAAGUAGUUGUCAGCUACUUCUUCUGGGGACUUAUCUCGAAUCUCCCGUGAGUAACCUUCUGCACUCCACCGUCGUAUCAAACAUCUUCGACUAAUCUUGUGAUCUUCAGGGAAGACGGAUGUAUACAGGAAACAAGACUUAAGAUGAUAUGGUAGACCAUCGUAACUUUUACCGAGAAUUGUUUUUAUGGCCCCAACCUCUGGGUUCAUUUCCAAUUCAGCACUAAUAUGCUCAUUCAAUUUCCUCCACUCUACCGCUACUUUUGGUUGCUUUGCCAAGAAGCCUCUGAUGGUGACUAUUGCAAGGGGAAGUCCAUUGCACUUCUUCAAGAUCAUGUUUGCUUCUUUGAUCAAUUCAGGAUGCUUGUCCAAAUCUUUGUCCUCCUUAAAUACCUGAAAUCAGUAGUGCUUAUUAUGUUCUUUGAGAUUGAAAAUACGUACGAAUGGUCUAUGUAGUUUACUUAUUUAUUAGAAUGACUAUGGCACAAUUAUUAGUCUCAUGCCUAUUGAAGAAUAGAACUAUUAGUUAUGAUGUCCUUAUAUCGUAAUGAAAGAUAACACAAAUGGCAGCAGGAUUAUAUUGCAAUAUAGUAUACCUUUCUUGUGAAGAGGUCUUGUGCAUCCUUGCAUUCAAGAACUUUGAGCUUGUAUAUGUUUUUUUGUUUCUCUGAACAAUGUUUUGCUAUACUCUCUUCCCUUGUGGUCACUAUAAUCCGGCAUGAACUAUCUAAUUUAGGGAAGCUUCCAAAUAUAUUAUCCCAUUCUGCUAUUGAUGAAAGAUCAUCAAGAACAAUCAAGCACUUCCUCCCUUCAAGAAGCCUAGCUAACUCUUUUAUUAAUGCUUCAACUCCCAUCAUUAUUGGGGCUGUGUUUCUUGCACCAUGUGCAAAAUCUAUUGCUCCUUUCUUUUCAGAAGAUUGUACAUUUAGUUGCAUAAUUAAGCUCUUCAGGAACUCCUUAAGAAUGAAAGGGCGCAUCACUGUAACACAAGCAUGCUUCUCAAACACACCAACAUGCUUCUGACUUUCAUAAACAUCUUUGAUCAGAGUAGUUUUCCCAAGACCACCCAUUCCCUAUACUGAGAUCACUGCAAGCUCAUGAUUAGAUGGAUUUGAAAUGAGGUUGAUGAUAUCAGUUUUUUCUUUCUGCCGACCGAUAAGUUGUGAUUCCUCCAAAGCACUUGCCAUAGUUUUGAUGCGAGCAAGGCUUUUUGCAAAUACCUUUAUCUCAUUGCCACCUUGAGAUUGAUGUCCCAGUGUUACAUUAGUACUUAUUGAUUCAUCUGAGCUAGACACUACCAGUGGUAUUUUUAUUUGAUCUUGACAAUCCUAUGCAGAGGUAAACUUUAGUUAUCAGAAUUUUAAAUUUGUCGAUGUUUAAACAAUAUUUUGACUCAAAAAGGUAAAUUCUAGCAUAAAUGCAUAUAAAUUUAUGAUGGGCACAGAUAGAUUGCUUGGGUAAUUAAAAGAAACAAGAUAGAUUGAUUUGGCAAGAAUGGAAUUAUAACAUAUAGGGGAGGCUAGUAUCUAGCCCAAUUACAAAUGAGGUGUUUAGAUAGAACUAUAAUGUGCAAGAUUGUUAUUGGCCAAUAUAUAGAUUUUCUUUAACACUAAUAUUACUAACAAUAGAUUCUAUUUGGAUGAUCGAUGUUAAUUCUCACUAGACAUGCUAGAAAAAUAGAUAGAUCUUAGAAAAUCUCACAAAGAGCGAAACAUUCUACCAUCAAUUUUGUAGACUCAAUCGUUGUUGAUAACAAUAAGCAUAGGAUGUAAUUUACUUUAAAAAUGACCUACCUCUACCAUUACAAAGAUAAUAUCCAAAAUCUACACCUAAAAUCCCCACAUAUGCCAUUAUGAAUAAGAAUUUAAUCAUCCCCUAAAUCUCCAUACAAGUGACCAAUCACUGCUACUAUGAAAAUAAAGCAUAAGUAACCUCGCAAUUUGUAUCUAAAUUACCAAUACCCUCUGCCAUUAUGAAUAAGAAUUUAAAUAAGAUAAUAAAUUUGUGCCUAGAUUAUCCAUCAUUUCCAUUAUUAAAAAUAACUUAAAGUAAUGCUUAAAUCUACAUCUGAAUUGCACAUUUCUAUGAUUAUAAAGUAUAAUAACCCAAAGCAUGCCCUAUAAAUGCUUCUAAAAUGAUCAUUUGUAUCAUCAUUAAUAUGUGAAAAAACUAAAGUAUACACAUCCAUGAUGUUUACCACCAUAGAAACCAAGUAGCAAGCAUGUAGGGAUCAAUAGAUAACAUUUUGACUGACAACAUUAUAACAUCUACAAUGAUAGUUACAUUAUGACCACUCUAAUUAUUUUCUCCCUCAAGCUAUUCUUUUGAUCUAUUUUUGUAACAUAAGUUAUAAUGUCAUGUGUCGUCCCAAUUAAUAUGAACUUAAAACUCAACCGGUACAUGGAGAAACAAAAAAAAAAUCUCAUUAGGGGUAGCAUAGACCAAUUGAAAUAGUUUGGGGAGUACAUCUAGUUAUUCAAGGAACUAAGCGGACAUAGUGGAUUGCUUAGGGUAGUAAAAUAGACAUCUUCAUUUAGUAAAGUUUUUCUAUAAGAAAUGUUUACACCUCUAGACAUGCUGGUUGACAAUCUUGUUUAUUCCUUCCACUUCUAACAGUUAUGCUUCUUAUGCUACCAUGUAUAGGAGCAUGUACUUGUUGAUGGACUCGUCCUUAUGGACGAAAAUUGAUACAUUUUUUCCCGUGCCUAUAAAUAUGGUAAAAGAAUACUGGAUACAACAACCUGAAUCCUUGUAACUAUCUGAGAUAAAGAAAAAUAACAAGAGGUGACACUAAUUCGAUAAUUUCUGAAGGAUGAAUAGUACCUUCUCGUAGAAAGCAUAAAUAGUCUGAUGAGCGGAGAACUGCUAAAGCUCCAACGCUUGGCAUUCUUGCCCUGCACACAAGCUUGCAACUUCAAUUUGUAGGCUGCAAACUAUGAUUCGACUCCCUUUCUUGUGGUUCGGCGGCAGACAUGCUUUAACCCCAUUCCACUCUUCGAAGGUGGACAAGUUAUUAAGCACAAUCAGGAAACUAUUCUCGCUUAGGUAUCCAGAGAACUCCUCUGCCAAUUCUUUUCCUGUCUUCUUGGUCUCCAACAGAACAUCGACCCCCACGGCUGAUCGGAACUGCUUCACUAAGCUUUGGCUGAAGUCAUUCGGAUUGAAGGGAUGCGAGAUCCUUACCCAUGCCCGGCACGAAAACUUCUUUUUGAUAUGUGGAUUCUCGUAGGCAACGUUGAUGAUGGAUGUCUGCCCAAGAUCACCACUGGUUCCCCACACUGCGAUCACUCUAAGAUCCUCGCCCGGUGAUUCAGCACUUCGAGCAAGAUCAUCGAGGAGAGGCGGUGUUGAUUGAGCCCGGAGAUGGUGGAGAUGCUCUCUUGCGUCAAGGACUAGGAAGCUGCAGAAGCAAGACUUCAGAACAUCUUGGAGGAUCAAGAACUUGAGGAAAGUUUUGCUAAUUUGUAUCUAAAUGUCCCUGCUGAUUCAUAGGUGUAAAACUUGGCCUGUAAUAACUUGAACUACUAUAAUAUUGAUUUGAUUGAGCUAGGCUGUACUCUUUUUUCCUAUCUAGGGUUUCUCACGAGGUGUGAGUUUUACCUAAAUAGGUUUUUAAUGAAGCAGCCAUUGCACUAGCUCAAACUUGUAAUCCCUUGUUUCUUUCUGUGAUGUUGAUCUGUGUUGUGAACUUAAAGUUGAUGAGAUAACUUCAAAUCUGUUUUGUGAAGUUAAGGUUGAAAUCUGUGUUGUGAAGUUGAAGUUAGUAUUUAAUCUAUUGAUAUGUUGAAAUCUUGUUUAUCUCAUGAUUUUGUUUAUCUAAUGAUCUGUUGAAGUUGAAAUAUAUUAAUCUGUUGAUCUGUUGAAAUAACUUGAAGAUGAAAUCUUGGUUUGUUUGAAUGGUCAUUGAUCUUUAGUGCCUGACCUGGCACUAGCACGACAGUACCCGUCGUGCCAGCAGGCCGGCUCGACCCAAUAAAAAGGCCAUCGGGCUGGGCCUAGGCCACCUCCUCAGCACGCAGUGCUAGCCCAGCCCGGCACGAAAAACCUUCAGGCCUAUUAGUGCUGGGCCAGACCGGGCUAGGGCUAGGCAACCAUCUAUAUCUGAAGCUGCUCUCGUGGUGAAAUGUGCAGCACCAAUAGCCCAACACAGACACCCCUCCUCUGCACACUCAAAAGCUCCCGCUGCUUGCGUGGUGCCGUGGUGACCUUGGAAAGGGAAUCGAUAUGGAAAACCAAAACACAGUGGUGAAACGUAUCAUGUAAAUAAAACUCUUUAUUGCAUUAAAAAAAUACGGUGCUGAAACUGAACCGGGCCGGAACAACAACGAGGCAAGCUGAACCGUGCGUGGUUCUAUAUUUUCACAUGCAUGUUGUUCCACGUUGGCUCCACCGCAAUGUGGUCAUUCUCUCUGGUUUUAUAGGAACAAGCAAUGCCUAUGCAGGGGUUGCUGGCCUGUGCCUGAUCACCGUGGAGCCGCUGCCCCUGGUGCCAGUGGACAAGCUAAAAUACUACUCCAGCGAAGCACGAAAAAUUGUGUGGCCUGCAAUGGAGUACCGUGCAUUUCCUCUAUUGAUAAUGGCAGGGACGCAAGGGAGCUGCAACAUCACUUGCAAAGAAAAAUGAUGGCAAACCAACUCAAGCAUACACAACCAGCGACCCUGCAGAUCAUUGUGGUGAACGUUCAUACAAAUGACCUGUACAGUUAUUCAUAUAUAGUCCACACCAGUCUUUGUAGCCCAAUUACUGAACUGAAGAACAUUAUUUCACUUCUAUCAGGCGAUGCAUGAUGGAAGAGCACGCUAGUUAUUCUUAUUUGGCACAACCACAUAAGCAAAAAAAAGGAAUACGAACGUACAGACGAACAAAACAAAAACAGAUGAUUCAGAGACGCUGCACUAGGCCCACGGGAUACUAACACGAUCGACCUUAGCUGCAUGCGUCAAAAAGAAAUACAUCAGCAGUAGGACUGGAGAUUAAUUUUACACACACAUCAAUUGUUCAGAUGCACAAAGAGGGUAACAGGGAAGCAGCAAGAGCAAUGACCUGGCACGACGAUCGGCUGACUUUGCAGCACCUCACCACCUCUUCAAAGCGGGUCCAUUUGGAUUGGCACCAAGCUGGCCCUGCAGGUCUUCCAUGAAAGUGUGCUCAUAAGUUUUGCUGUCCAGCAUAAAUUCCUUGAGGCUCCGGAGCAAUGGUAGCCCGGAAAACAUCCCUGUGUUGGUUUCUUCAAGCUUGCCACGAAAAUCUAGCCGCUCAAGCCGAAGCAUUGCCCCUUCUUCAAACUCCACCGAUUUCAGGCCAUCUAUGUCAUUUAGCUCCAGCACUAUCAGACUCGGGAAUGCCUCCGGAUGGAAGGUGAAACGGAGGUUGUCAACCUGGAACGACUUCGCCCACAGACGUAAGCUGACCAGGUUCGGUAGCUUCCCAAGAACUUGGAGUGCAGGUUCGUGCUCCAGUAUUCUAGAGCUCCUUAGAAUCAACUUCACAAGAUUCUUGAGCCCCUCGACCCAUCCUGGCAAUUUGAGCAGAUUGCCGUAUACCUUGAGGCUUUGCAGGUUUUUCGGAGCGGAGGUCAAGCUAUCUAAGCAGCCAUGCAAACCUGGCAUCCCACGUGCCUGCACUAGCAAAUAUUCCAGGCAGCUGAGAUUGGCAACGACUGAACACAAUUCCUGGCCAUUUUCCUUGUUGAUGCCAGUCACAGCUAACUUGCGCAACUGGGUCAGUCUUUUUAUGUCGAGUAGAUUUGCCUUGUCCCAUGCGAGAUUCACAACACUCAAUGUGCGCAGGGAUUUUAGUUUCCCUAUCCCUCUUGGCAUCCAAGUUGGACCUUCUUUCGCCAUCAGAACAGGGAGCAUGACGCAGCAACACUGAGUGCAUACAUCACACCUAUUCAUGUCACCAUCCACAUCCAUAACCUCUUUAAUAAAUUGAGGUGCGCAACAUGCCACGCAAAAUCCUAGCAACCAACCCAUACAAAUGCAUGGCCUGUUAUUCACUACUUUUGGCAGUUCUUCAAGCGAUAAUGAAUUAUCAUGCGCUCCAACAGCCCCAGCACGAAGAUAUUGUAGCUUCUUGAGCUUGGUGAUGGUCUUGGGCAGCUUUAAAAUCGAUGUCUGUGAAAUAUCUAGUGUUUCUAGUUGCUUUAGAUUACCCAACGAAUCUGGCAAGUGAAAAAUAUCAGCACAUCUUCUUAGAGAGAGGUAUCUGAGGUGAAGAAGCUUCCCAAUAUGCUCUAGGUGAUGACUAACCAGACCUGACGUGCCUUCCAAGUCCAGCACACGCAAGAACCUCAUCUUGUCAGAAAUGAAAAAGGACCUCCACUUCCCAAACACUGUUAAUGAGCGUAUGCGGGACAGAUCCACUUUGUUCUCAAACUCACUCUUAUCUGCUUCCCAGUUGGUGCUUAUGACAAGGUGGCGAACUGUGCCCUGGGUGUUUGAGCUGCAACCUUCCUCCAUUCUAAAAACGAGAUUCUCUUCUGUUGACUUUGAGAUGCUAAUCUCACGCAUGAGAUCAUGAACUUGGCAAGAGUCAAUUCCUUUUCUACUAUUAACUGAUAGCUGAGAAGGUAGGAUCAUGCUCCUCUCUAUUAGUUCCAUGAAGUAGUUGUCAGCUACUUCUUCUGGGGACUUAUCUCGAAUCUCCCUUGAGUAACCUUCUGCACUCCACCGUCGUAUCAAACGUCUUCGACUAACCUUGUGAUCUUCAGGGAAGAUGGAUGUAUAUAGGAAACAAGACUUAAGAUGGUAUGGUAGACCAUCAUAACUUUUACCAAGAAUUGUUUUUAUGGCCCCAAGCUCCGGGUUCAUUUCCAAUUCAGCACUAAUAUGCUCAUUUAAUUUCCUCCACUCUACCGCUACUUUUGGUUGCUUUGCCAAGAAGCCUCCGAUGGUGACUAUUGCAAGGGGAAGUCCAUUGCACUUCUUCAAGAUCAUUUUUGCUUCUUUGAUCAAUUCAGGAUGCUUAUCCAAAUCUUUGGCCUCCAUAAACACCUGAAAUCAGUAGUGCUUAUUAUGUUCUUUGAGAUUGAAAAUACGUACGAAUGGUCUAUGUAGUUUACUUAUUUAUUAGAAUGACUAUGGCACAAUUAUUAGUCUCAUGCCUAUUGAAGAAUAGAAUUAUUAGUUAUGAUGUCCUUAUGUUGUAAUGAAAGAUAUCACAAAUGGCGGCAGGAUUAUAUUGUAAUAUAGUAUACCUUUCUUGUGAAGAGGUCUUGUGCAUCCUUGCAGUCAAGAACUUUGAGCUUGUAUAUGUUUUCUUGUUUCUCUGAACAAUGUUUUGCUAUACUCUCUUCCCUUGUGGUCACUAUAAUCCGGCAUGAACUAUCUAAUUUAGGGAAGCUUCCAAAUAUAUUAUCCCAUUCUGCUAUUGAUGAAAGAUCAUCAAGAACAAUCAAGCACUUCCUCCCUUCAAGAAGCCUAGCUAACUCUUUUAUUAAUGCUUCAACUCCCAUCAUUACUAGGGCUGUGUUUCUUGCACCAUGUGCAAAAUCUAUUGCUCCUUUCUUUUCAGAAGAUUGUACAUUUAGUUGCAUAAUUAAGCUCUUCAGAAACUCCUUACGAAUGAAAGGGCGCAUCACUGUAACACAAGCAUGCUUCUCAAACACACCAACAAGCUUUUGACUUUCAUAAACAUCUUUGAUCAGAGUAGUUUUCCCAAUACCACCCAUUCCCCAUACUGAGAUCACCGCAUGCUCUUGAUUAGAUCGAUUUGAAAUGAGGUUGAUGAUAUCAGUUUUUUCUUUUUGCCGACCGAUAAGUUGUGAUUCCUCCAAAGCACUUGCCAUAGUUUUGAUGCGAGUAAGGCUUUUUGUGAAUACCUUUAUCUCAUUGCCACCUUGAGAUUGAUGUCCCAGUGCUACAUUAGUACUUAUUGAUUCAUCUGAGCUGGACACUACCACUGGUAUUUUUAUUUGAUCUUGACAAUCCUAUGCAGAAGUAAACUUUAGUUAUCAGAAUUUUAAAUUUGUCGGUGUUUAAACAAUAUUUUGACUCAAAAAGGUAAAUUCUAGCAUAAAUGCAUAUAAAUAUAUGAUGGCCAUAGAUAGAUUGCUUGGGUAAUUAAAAGAAACAAGAUAGAUUGAUUAGGCAAGAAUGGAAUUAUAACAUAUAGGGGAGGCUAGUAUCUAGCCCUAUUACAAAUGAGGUGUUUAGAUAGAACUAUAAUGUGUAAGAUUGUUAUUGGCCAAUAUAUAGAUUUUAUUUAACACUAAUAUUACUAAUAAUAGAUUCUAUUUGGAUGAUCGAUGUUAAAUCUCACUAAACACGCUAGAAAAAUAGAUAGAUCUUAGAAAAUCUCACAAAGAGCGAAACAUUCUACCAUCAAUUUUGUAGACUCAAUCCUUGUUGAUAACAAUAAGCAUAGGAUGUAAUUUACUUUAAAAAUGACCUACCUCUACCAUUACAAAGAUAAUAUCCAAAAUCUACACCUAAAAUCCCCACAUAUGCUAUUAUGAAUAAGAAUUUAUUCGUCCUCUAAAUCUCCAUACAAGUGACCAAUCACUGCUACUAUGAAAAUAAAGCGUAAGUAACCUCACAAUUUGUAUCUAAAUUACCAAUACCCUCUGCCAUUAUGAAUAAGAAUUUAAAUAAGAUAAUAAAUUUGUGGCUAGAUUAUCCACUGUUUCCAUUAUUAAAAAUGACUUAAAGUAAUGCUUAAAUCUACAUAUGAAUUACACAUUUUUAUGAUUAUAAAGUAUAAUAAUCCAAAGCAUGCCCUAUAAAUUUUUCUAAAUUGAUCAUUGGUAUCAUUAUUAAUAUGUGAAAAAACUAAAGUAUACACAUCCAUGAUGUGUACCACCAUAGAAACCAAGUAGCAAGCAUGUAGGGAUCAAUAGAUGCAUUGAUUUACAUGGUUUGGCAAUAAUAAAAGUUAUUUUCUUAAUGAUUCAUAUUACAAUGGCAGUCCACGUUAAAUUAUAUUACAAUACUACUACAUGACAAGAAUUAUUUAAGUUGCUACUCUAGAUAAAUGUAUUACAUUUUGACUGACAACAUUGUAACAUCUACAAUGAUAGUUACAUUAUGACCACUCUAAUGAUAGUUGCUAUUCUUUUGAUCUAUUUUUGUAACAUAAGUUAUAAUGUCAUGUGUUGUCCCAAUUAAUAUGAACUUAAAACUCAACCGGUACAUGGAGAACAAAAAUAAAAAAAAUCUCAUUAGGGGCUGCAUGGACCAAUUGAAUUAGUUUGGGGAGUACCAUCCAGUUGUUCAAGGAACUAAGCGGACAUAGUGGAUUGCUUAGGGUAGUAAAAUAGACUUCUUCAUUUAGUAAAAUUUUUCUAUAGAGAAAUUUUUACACCUCUAGACAUGCUGGAUGACAAUCUUGUUUAUUCCUUCCACUUGUAACAGAUAUGCUUCUUAUGCUAGCAUGUACAGGAGCAUGUGUACUUGUUAAUGGACUCGUCCCUUAUGGGCGAAAAUUGAUACAUUCUUUCCUGUGCCUAUAAAUAUGGUAAAAGAAUACUGGAUACAACAACCUGAAUCCUUGUAACUAUCUGAGAUAAAGAAAAAUAAAAGAGGUGACACUAAUUCGACGAUUUCUGAAGGAUGAAUAGUACCUUCUCGUAGAAAGCGUAAAUAGUCUGAUGAGCGGAGAACUGCUUAAGCUCCAACGCUUGGCAUUCUUGCCCUGCACACAAGCUUGCAACUUCAAUUUGUAGGCUGCAAACUAUGAUUCGACUCCCUUUCUUGUGGUUCGGCGGCAGACAUGCUUUAACCUCAUUCCACUCUUCAAAGGUGGACAGGUUAUUAAGCACAAUCAGGAAACUAUUCUCGCUUAGGUAUCCAGAGAACUCCUCUGCCAACUCUUUUCCUGUCUUCUUGGUCUCCAACAGAACAUCGACCCCCACGGCUGAUCGGAACUGCUUCACUAAGCUUUGGAUGAAGUCAUUCGGAUUGAAGGGAUGCGAGAUCCUUACCCAUGCCCGGCACGAAAACUUCCUUUUGAUAUCUGGAUUCUCGUAGGCCGCGUUGAUGAUGGAUGUCUGCCCAAGAUCACCACUGGUUCCCCACACUGCGAUCACUCUAAGAUCCUCGCCCGGUGUGUUGAUCAGGUGGACAAGGUCCACUUUUGAGUUGUCAUUCUUCGCAGCACGCCGUGCAUCAUCGAUGCCGAAUAUCGCUGCAGCUGUAAUGCUUGACUGCUCAGCAGAAGUGACCGGCUUGGAGCCAGCGCUCUUGAUGAGCUGGUAGCGCAGGUUCCUCUGGCUCACGUCCUCAACUCUGGUCCUCAGCUCCUUCAUCUUCUUGGCGAUGCGGCGCCGCUCUUGCAACGUGCGAGGAAGGCGCCACCAAGAUGGCUUGUGGAGAUGAACAGAGAAAUCCUGGAGGCAGUCCUCCGCAUCGUACGCCACGUCACGAACUUGUUUCACCCAGGUCAUGAGCACCUCAUGGUUGUCUCGCUCGUCGUGCGCAGCCCUCAUAAAGGCUUGCAUCAUCGCGAGCUCGUCCCUGAUGAAAGCAUGAUCGCGCUGGAUGCCGAGCUGCAAGGCCACCUCCUCCGCGACAGCGGAUUUGGCGUAGCCAAGCGCUCCAUCCAGCACGGACUUGCCCACACUCAACGCUGUGGCCUCCAUGGCUCUCCUCUCGGGUGCUGUGUGGUGUGGAAAUGCUUGGUGCCAGUCCACAAGCCAACCAUUUGGUUAAAAAGGUGAACUCAACAACUAGAGGACCGAGCAAGUUGAAAUUUUUCAUGAAGACUUGGACUUAGUGUAGCAGUUCCUCAAGUCGUACCAAAUUAAUUUAGUGGUAGGCUAUGUUAAUUAAGUGGUAGGCUAGUAUUGAGAUGCACGCAAGAGAGCUGUUGGUCCAAGCUUGCAGCGCGUUGACUCUGUUGCACAUGUUGGCACGAGCAAACUACACACCUAAGCACGCAGCUUGCAAUUUUCUUUAAGAAAAGCUGCACAUGUUGGCAACCAUUAUGAUCGUUAUGAAUCGAUUGAAGCGCAGAUGCCAUCUCAUUGUCAACGGGACCGGAGCUAGAGAAGAAUAAAGGGGCGUGCGACACCUUCAAGGCAUACAUAGACAUUUAAUUUAACAUGAUGAAAAUUUCGAGCGAUAGCAAACUAUGAGUUUUUUCUACGUGCGGCAGCACCCGGCACUUAUAACCUAGCUCUGCCCCUGGUUGUCAAGGAUAAGGACAUUUGGAAUCAACUGAAACAUCAUAAGAAGCUAGCCCAAAAAGCAAAAGCAACGCACAAACCUACAGACAAGCUGCUCUGUGGUAGGGGAGAAAACUUCAGCAAAACACUAAAGCUUCUAUGCAGAGUAAAAAAUUAGAUCCUUCCUUCUUCUCGAGUCAAUUCCAUGGAUGGACACAUGUGAGAAUGCAUCCACAACUUGUAGCGAAGCAUGUGACCUUGUAUGUGAGAGCAAGCCCCACGUGCCUGCACUAGCAAAGAUUCCAGGCAGCUUAGAUUGGCAACGACUGAACAGAACUCCUGGCCGGUUUUCUUGCUGAUGCCGGUCACAGCUAACUUGCCUUGUCCCAUGCAGAGAUUCACAGGACCCAAUGUGUGCAGGGCUUUUAGUUUCCCGAUCCCUCUUGGCAUCCAAGUUGGACUUUCCAUUGUCAUCAUCAGAAGAGGGAAGAACCAGCAGCAACAUAUAGUGCACCUAUUAAUGUCACCACCGGCCCGUUACGUGAAACUCUUUUAAGAAGAUGAGGUACACAACAUGCAACACAAAAUCCGAGCAACCAACCCGUACAAAUGCAUGGCUUGUUAUUCACUACUUUUGGCACUUCUUCUAACGGACUAUUAAAUGAUUUAUCAUCCUUUCCAACAGACCCAGGAUCAAGAUAUUGUAGAUUCUUGAGUUUGGUGAUAGUCUUGGGCAGCUUUAAUAUCUCUGUCUCUGAAAUAUCUAGUGUUUCUAGUUGCUUUAGAUUACCGGCCCACCAACGAAUCUGACAAGUGAAAAAUACCAGUACAUCCUCUUAGAGAGAGGUCUCUGAGGUGAAGAAGCUUCCCAAUAUGCUCUAGGUGAUGAUUAAACAGACCUGAUGUGCCUUCCAAGUCCAGCACACGCAAGAACCUCAUCUUGUCGGAAAUGAAAAAGGACCUCCAGAGAACUCCUCUGCCAACUCUUUUCCUGUCCUCUUGGUCUCCAACAGAACAUCAACCCCCACGGCUGAUCGGAAGUACUGCUUCACUAAGCUUUGGAUGAAGUCAUUCGGAUUGAAGGGAUGCGAGAUCCUUACCCAUGCCCGGCACGAAAACUUCUUUUUGAUAUCUGGAUUCUCGUAGGCCGCGUUGAUGAUGGAUGUCUGCCCAAGAUCACCACUGGUUCCCCACACUGCGAUCACUCUAAGAUCCUUGCCCGGUGAUUCAGCACUUCUGGUAGGAUCAUCGAGGAGAGGCGGCGUCGAUUGAGCCCGGAGAUGGUGGAGGUGCUCUCUUGCGUCAAGGACUGGAAAGCUGCAGAAGCAAGACUUCAGAACAUCUUGGAGGAUCAAGAGCUUGAGGAAAGUUUUGCUAAUUUGUAUCUAAAUGUCCCUGCUGAUUCAGAGGUGUAAAACUUGACCUGUAAUAACUUGAACUACUAUAAUAUUGAUUUGAUUGAGCUAGGCUGUACUCUUUUUUCCUAUCUAGGGUUUCUCACGAGGUGUGAGUUUUACCUAAAUAGGUUUUUAAUGAGGUAGCCAUUGCACUAGCUCAAACUUAUAAUCUCUUGUUUCUCUCUGUGAUGUGGUGGAAGGAAUAACUGUUAGAAGUGGAAGGAAUAAACAAGAUUUUCAACCAGCAUGUCUAGAGAUUAUAAGUUUCUCUCUGUGCCGUGGUGGCCUUCGAAAGGGAAUCGAUACGGAAAAUCAAAACACAGUGGUGAAACGUAUCAUGUAAAUAAAACUCUUUAUUGCAUUAAAAAAACAAUGGGCUGAAACUGAACCGGGCCGAAACAACAACGAGGCAAGCUGAACCGUGCGUGGUUCUGUAUUUUCACAUGCAUGUUGUUCCACGUUGGCUCUGCCGCAAUGUGGUCAUUCUCUCUGGUUUUAUGGGAAUAAGCAAUGCCUAUGCAGGGGUUGCUAGCCUGUGCCUGAUCGCCGUGGAGCCGCUGCCCCUGGUGCCAGUGGACAAGCUAAAAUACUACUCCAGCGAAGCGUGUGUGGCCUGCAAUGGAGUACCGUGCAUUUCCUCUGUUGACAAUGGCAGGGACGCAAGGGAGCUGCAACAUCACUUGCAAAGAAAAAUGAUGGCAAACCAACUCAAGCAUACACAACCAGCGACCCUGCAGAUCAUUGUGGUGAACGUUCAUACAAAUGACCUGUACAAUUAUUCAUAUAUAGUCCACACCAGUCUUUGUAGCCCAAUUACUGAAUUGAAGAACAUUAUUUCACUUCUAUCAGGCGAUGCAUGAUGGAGCAGCACGCCAAUUAUUCUUAUUUGGCACAACCACAUAAGCAAAAAAAGGAAUACGUACGUACAGACGAACAAAACAAAAAACAGAUGAUUCAGAGACGCCGCACUAGGCCCACGGGAUACUGACACGAUCGACCUUAGCUGCAUGCGUCAAAAAGAAAUACAUCAGCAGUAGGACUGGAGAUUAAUUUUACACACACAUCAAUUGUUCAGAUGCACAAAGAGGGUAACAGGGAAGCAGCAAGAGCAAUGACCUGGCACGACGAUCGGCUGACUCUGCAGCACCUCACCACAUCUUCAAAGCGGGUCCAUUUGGAUUGGCACCAAGCUGGCCCUGCAGGUCUUCCAUGAAAGCGUGCUCAUAAGUUUUGCUGUCCAGCAUAAAUUCCUUGAGGCUCCGGAGCAAUGGUAGCCCGGAAAACAUCCCUGUGUUGGUUUCUUCAAGCUUGCCACAAAAAUCCAGCCGCUCAAGCCGAAGCAUUGCCCC